RNAcentral lists this ribosomal RNA (468 nucleotides) under uncultured bacterium. RNAcentral describes it as "partial 16S ribosomal RNA". It matches the Rfam family "Bacterial small subunit ribosomal RNA", at positions 28 to 507 of the family's 1533-position model. The record is from RNAcentral.
GACGAACGCUGGCGGCGUGCUUAACACAUGCAAGUCGAACGGAAAGGCCCUGCUCUUGUGGGGUGCUCGAUUGGCGAACGGGUGUGUAACACGUGAGUAUCCUGUCCUUGACUUUGUGAUAUCUUCAGGAAACUGGGGCUAAUAUCGGAUAGGAUCUCCUGCUGCAUGGUGGGGGUUGGAAAGUUUCGGCGGUUGGGGAUGGACUCGCGGCUUAUCAGCUUGUUGGUGAGGUAGUGGCUUACCAAGCCUGCGACGGGUAGCCGGCCUGGGAGGGUGACCGGCCACAAUGGGACUGAGAGAGGGACCAGACGGCAACGGGAGGCAGCGGGGGGGAAUAUUGCACAAUGGGCGGGAGCCUGAUGCGACGACGCCGGGAGCGGGAUGACGGCCUUCGAGUUGUGAACCGCUUUGGCCUGUGACGAGGCGUGAGUGACGGUAAUGGGUAAAAAAGCACCGGCUAACUACGUG